RNAcentral lists this ribosomal RNA (253 nucleotides) under uncultured bacterium. Its description in RNAcentral is "partial 16S ribosomal RNA". It matches the Rfam family "Bacterial small subunit ribosomal RNA", at positions 524 to 776 of the family's 1533-position model. The record is from RNAcentral.
UACAGAGGUCUCAAGCGUUGUUCGGAUUCAUUGGGCGUAAAGGGUGCGUAGGUGGCGGGGUUAGUCAGGUGUGAAAUCUCGGGGCUCAACCCCGAAACUGCACUUGAUACUGCCUUGCUUGAGUACUGGAGAGGAGAUUGGAAUUUACGGUGUAGCAGUGAAAUGCGUAGAUAUCGUAAGGAAGACCAGUGGCGAAGGCGAAUCUCUGGACAGUUACUGACACUGAGGCACGAAGGCCAGGGGAGCAAACGGG